AGAGUUUGAUCCUGGCUCAGGAUGAACGCUGGCGGCGUGCCUAACACAUGCAAGUCGAGCGAUUUACUUCGGUAAAGAGCGGCGGACGGGUGAGUAACGCGUGGGUAACCUGCCCUGUACACACGGAUAACAUACCGAAAGGUAUGCUAAUACGAGAUAAUAUACUUUUAUCGCAUGGUAGAAGUAUCAAAGCUUUUGCGGUACAGGAUGGACCCGCGUCUGAUUAGCUAGUUGGUAAGGUAACGGCUUACCAAGGCGACGAUCAGUAGCCGACCUGAGAGGGUGAUCGGCCACAUUGGAACUGAGACACGGUCCAAACUCCUACGGGAGGCAGCAGUGGGGAAUAUUGCACAAUGGGCGAAAGCCUGAUGCAGCAACGCCGCGUGAGCGAUGAAGGCCUUCGGGUCGUAAAGCUCUGUCCUCAAGGAAGAUAAUGACGGUACUUGAGGAGGAAGCCCCGGCUAACUACGUG
RNAcentral lists this ribosomal RNA (472 nucleotides) under uncultured bacterium. RNAcentral describes it as "bacterial SSU rRNA". It matches the Rfam family "Bacterial small subunit ribosomal RNA", at positions 8 to 507 of the family's 1533-position model. The record is from RNAcentral.